Molecule: ribosomal RNA, 301 nt
Filed under: uncultured bacterium
Lineage: Bacteria
Description: partial 16S ribosomal RNA
Rfam family: Bacterial small subunit ribosomal RNA
Source: RNAcentral
CAGUAGCCACGGUAAUACGGAGGGAGCUAGCGUUGUUCGGAAUUACUGGGCGUAAAGCGCACGUAGGCGGCUUUGUAAGUUAGAGGUGAAAGCCUGGAGCUCAACUCCAGAAUUGCCUUUAAGACUGCAUCGCUUGAAUCCAGGAGAGGUGAGUGGAAUUCCGAGUGUAGAGGUGAAAUUCGUAGAUAUUCGGAAGAACACCAGUGGCGAAGGCGGCUCACUGGACUGGUAUUGACGCUGAGGUGCGAAGCGUGGGGAGCAAACAGGAUUAGAGACCCCAGUAGUCCCUGUCUCUUAUACA